GGGCCGUUAGCUCAGUUGGUAGAGCAGCUGACUCUUAAUCAGCGGGUCGAAGGUUCGAGUCCUUCACGGCCCACCA
RNAcentral lists this transfer RNA (76 nucleotides) under Proteobacteria bacterium CG1_02_64_396. RNAcentral describes it as "tRNA-Lys". It matches the Rfam family "tRNA". Rfam says of the family: Transfer RNA (tRNA) molecules are approximately 80 nucleotides in length. Their secondary structure includes four short double-helical elements and three loops (D, anti-codon, and T loops). RNAcentral also lists the same sequence under 8 other names. The record is from RNAcentral. Lineage: Bacteria; Pseudomonadati; Pseudomonadota.